This 179-nucleotide small RNA is filed under the name Gopherus agassizii (Agassiz's desert tortoise). Its description in RNAcentral is "TUC338 (ENSGAGG00000024940.1)". The record is from RNAcentral. Lineage: Eukaryota; Metazoa; Chordata; Testudines; Testudinidae.
UUGGCUGCUUUGGAAAGUGAAGAUUUCUAUUUAUACGUAGAAUGGGUACAGCAUGGGCAAUGGCAGAGGAAGCUUUUCCCAUGCCAUCCUGCCAAUAUGCCUUAACUCUGACCUGGAUGUACUGCCUCUAGUGGCAAAAAGGCAUUUUAGUUUCCAUGUCUAUUUAGUUUUUUGGCUCU